CGGGACGGCGAGGAUAGCGCCUGGGGGAGCAGCCCUAGCCCCAGCAGCACGGUGUUCACCAGGACCAGAGUAUUCUGCCAAAAAUGAAAUGCUGUCCUGUAUCAAAACCCGAUUCGAGCUUCUGCCGAGCCUGACCAGUCUUGGGUCUUGAGCCAGGAUGAUUUUUUGGGAGGAAAUUCCACAUUUGGGAGGGAAAGGAUGAAGUAGUUAUAAAAGGGUCAGCUUGCCAGAUGGAAAAAAAAGAGGCAGUUGUAUGAACAGAAUGGAGGAAAGCAUUUCCUGGGUCACUGAGUUUUGUCCGGAGCUACUUAAAGGAACUAAUUCCCACAUCACCCUUCAAUGAGCGACCACGCUCUUGCAGCAGGCAGAAGCAUGAGGAUCACCUCAACACCACGUCCCCCUCUGCAAAGGUGCAACACUCAAUGCAGCAUCGCUGAAAUGUGUCUUUAAGGAAUGUCCCACUCUGUGCUGCAGAAAUCAGUUCUUUAGAGAAGCAGGUUAGCUUUCCAAGCUGCAUCCAGGCACACGCUGGGCUGAGCUGCAGCUCUGCCAUCCCUCAGCACACCGGGGCUAUCUGCACCUCCUGCCCACUCAUCUUCCUGCUCCGGCCACGCCAACCCGCUCCAGCCUUGCCGAGCGAUAAACCCUUGGCCUCUCGCGUUCGUCUGGCCGAUAAGGGCCAGCGGUUUAUCGGAGGAAACACUCGCGCUCGCAGGGAUGGCCUCCGCACCGCGGCCGAUUAAUCCGAGUUGAGUGCACUUCCUUCGGCCAGGGGACACCAAUUACCGCGAAGGCACCGGCAGCACAAUGCAGGCGAACAUCUGACAGCCCGGGUCCUGCCAGCUCCGCAUUGUCCUCCCGUCAGGCGCUGUCAGUUCCCAGCCUUAAUUACAUCCUGUUUACAAACACUCCGCCGGACUUCAGAUGGAGCCUUAACAAAGGUUGACAAAGAGGUACGGGAAAAUAAUGUUCACUGCAACCUGUUGACUUUCAGUGUGAACAAAAACCCAAAAAGAAAAAAUAAUAGGAAGAAUUUGAAAUUUACAGCUGGGUUUGCUUGCAUGGGAACGAGGAAACCAGGCACCUCUGUAAGCCAAGGCUCCAGUAUCAUCUUUCCCCAUCUUAAGAUAGAUGAGCACUGACAUGAACUGAAUCUCAUCCAAAACUCAAUGUAUAGCAGCACUUACAGGAGUAGAGCAGCUGGAUCAAUCUAAACACUUGAUAUAUCAAAGCCAUUAACUUAGGAGCUUGUCACCAGACCCAUCUCUUUGUAUCUAGUCAGUUAUUCACACAUCAUGAUUCACGAACCCCAACUGCACAGGACCACACAGCAAUAGCCAAUGAAAUCGAAAACCCAGCUUGUUGUCGUAUCACCGCUCUCUGAGGACAUGCUGCAAUAAUUACAUGGUCACAGUCAGUGAAAGGCGACUGGCACAGCAUCAUGCUCCUGCAGAGCUGUGCGAUGGGUAGCAGAGGCUGCGUCAGUGGUUCUGAGCUACUAGCAGAGUGCUGGGCAUCAGCACCCAUCUAGGAUCUUCUGGAUGAACUAGCAAAUAUUUCUGACGGUGGAUGAGACUGCACCUGCCUGCCCACAAAGGAAGGGGACUUACAAGUUUCAUUACCUGAAACAAACAAGCAAAACAAUUCCUUGGAUUUUAGGGUCAGAUUGUGAUUGUUUUCAGUGAGAAAUGUAAACACCAAAUAAAGUAACAGAGUAACACUGACCAUGACCAGGGCUUCCCAGGGUUGAUCUUGCAGUUUUGGAUAAUGUCCCCCAUACUUAGUUAUCCACUUAAAUUUAAGACUUUACUUUCAUAAAUAAAUGGCAAAGCUAAGGACAAGAGGAUAUCUCUUAUUUAUGUAUCAAUUGCUAACAAUCCAGUAAAAAGUUGAUAUCCCAUUUGAAAGAGUUUACAGCCAGGGGCUGAAUGCUAUAGAAAAGCAAAUCCACACUCAGUACAAUUACACUUAGCUAAUCCAAACAAUUACACUCAGUGAAAGGAAAUUCAAAAUUACAUUCUAUCAAGAAAAGGAGUGGAAAGGAUGACUUGCUGGAAAGGUUUAAAAUAUUUGACAAUCCAAAGUGUAGAAAAGUUGAAGGUUUAAAUAAAGUCUGCAAGCUCACUGCUGAUUACAUACACUCAAAAAUAUUCCUGGCUGGUCCUGAGCAUUUCUGCUGUGCCUGCACUGAGCUAUUCUUACAAAGAGGUGGAGCAUGGUGACCCUUGGGUGCAGAAGGAAACCUCAGCCACCCUGUCAGAGAGGGUACAGCUCAAGCCCCCAGUAACAAAUCAGUCAGUAACAGAAUGAAGUGGGCACUAGAUUAGGGGUUUUUUUUUUUUCAAAAACAUGUGUUUUUUGGUCAGAAAAAUAAGGAGGAAUAAAAGAAUGAAGGCUGAUUUUUGGAGAAUGGCAUCCCUUACCAGGCAGUGGCUUUGCCUUCCCCAGAAAACUGGGCUGUGCUGCUGCAGGAGAGCCUCGCCAAGGCGACCAGACGCCGCUCUGCAGUUCAUAAAGCAGGCUCUUCCUUGCCCAGCUUCGUGACUUGUCGGCCUCAGUAUGCCUCUUGUUCCAGACCACGUGCCAGUCAGCUGCUGUUACUGCAAAGCUGUGCUGAAUGCUUCUUAAUUAGCCCAGUUCCCUAUGGCUUAGCCCAGUUUUCGACUGAGGAACAGCCUUGGGAGCUGUGAAGCCCUGUAUCUGGGAAAAUGUGAUCCUUGAUGCACCAACCCAGUUCAGCACAUCCUAUUUUCCCUACCGCUGCCCAGCAGGCUCAGUUGCAUUUGUGCUGGAGUGCCAUCCUGCCCAGGAGGCAGCUGCAGCAGGCAGGGUGCAGAGCUGGAGGUCCUGUGCACUGCACAGCUCUGUGCCCACCGGUGGCAUGAGGACAGAGCUUGUCCUCGAACCCAAGGCUCAUCACCUCCAUGCACCAGGCAUGAGUCAGAACACAAAUAAAACUGAUCACAUACGUUGUACUUAUUUGCUCAAAUUCACGGGCUUUUUUCAUGCAUGUAAACCUUCUGCUGUUGCAUUGGUUGUGCAGCACAACAUUAUAGGUUUGAGUUUACCUUAACUUAAACCAGAAAGAACUCUGCCUUUUUUCUUUAUUAUUUUUAUUACAUCAUCAUAUCCUCUAUUUUCCUGCAUUCUGUUCUCCCUUUUUAUAUUUUUUUGUCCUUUAAAGUCUGCCUUACAUUUUAUGGACAUCUUCCUUGCAGCUUCCAGAAGGGUGCUCCAUCUUAAACUCAACAGCAAGGCUGACAGAUGGGCUUGAUAGUUUUUUUCUUUUGCAAGUAAUAAAAAAGGAACAUUACACUUCACGUGAAACCAGAGCACUGCCUCGAAACAACAGUGUUUGCUUGGCUAUAAAAAUAGUUACUGUUCUGCCAGGCCCAGAAUCAAAGCAUUUGCAUUAAUGUGUUUCCUCUUUUAAUAAAUAAAUCCAAUAUUUUAAAAUUUCA
Molecule: long non-coding RNA, 3461 nt
Organism: Tympanuchus pallidicinctus (lesser prairie-chicken)
Lineage: Eukaryota; Metazoa; Chordata; Aves; Galliformes; Phasianidae
Exons: 5
Source: RefSeq, a predicted model, not a curated record